RNAcentral lists this long non-coding RNA (1853 nucleotides) under Canis lupus familiaris (dog). RNAcentral's name for it is "lncRNA (ENSCAFG00845025210.1)". The record is from RNAcentral. Lineage: Eukaryota; Metazoa; Chordata; Mammalia; Carnivora; Canidae.
UUUGAUUCAUACUAAUUCAAUUCCAGUAAACUUCAAAAGUAGUGGUAUCUUACGGGCAUUUUAAUUUCACUUUAACAAGUGAUAAAGCCAAAAUUAAAUACAAACUCCUAAAGGCUUAGAUGAACCCCACAGGUACCCCGCAUGUAUAGUUCCAGAUUAAUCAUUUUUGAUAUUUAAACAUAUUGUUUGUAAUCUACUUAAAUAAAGGGCCCAAAAGAACACAUACUUUACUUUCUAAAACUGGUCCUCACUAUCCAGCCGCUUUCUGGAAGUCUUGUCUGGUUCACUCAAAAAUCUCUAAGGGCAAUAAUUUAAUACCUUAUCACAUGACAUCAUACCAGGUGAACCUUAACAUAGUUUCAAAUCAAGAAAGGCAACUGCCCACACUUAGAAAACAACUUCUCUAGUCAAUCACAGAGAGACAUUAAGGGCAAUUGCAAAGUUCAGAAAAUCAUACACUUUUUCUCAGCGCAUCCGCAGUGUCCGUUUGGCUAGACUCCUCCACGCCAGAGCCCAGUCUCUUCAUAUGCUGUGCUCAGUUAAACUGAACAAUUCUGAAUGAUUUGAACUCACUUUGGAAAAAAAAACAUCUUUUACUUACAUACUAUAAAAUUGGGUUUUAUUUGUCACAAGUUCAUGCUGCGGGCCCCCAUCCAAUUUAUAGUGAAGGACAGCAAGGAGCAUUUUAUCCCAGAAAGAUAAUUCAAAAAACUAGUUCUCCGUCUUGACCAUCGCCUUCAGUUUAUCCUUCACAUCCACCAUAACCAUGCUGUAUAAAAUUGCAACCCACACCUGUACCCUCAGGCCUCUUUUUUUUUGCUCAUCUUUUUCAUUUUUCAUAGCACUUAUAAUUUUCUAAAUGAUAAGUAACCACAUACGUUUACUGUCAAUCAUUCUUUUCUAGAAUGUAAGCUCCAAAGGGAAGGGAUCUUUGUUUCUCUUGUUCACUGACAUAUCUUUUUUUUAUUUUUAAAGAUUUUAUUUAUUCAUGAGGGAAACACAGAGAGAGGGAGAGAGAGAGGCAGAGAGAGAAAGAAGCAGGCCCCAUGCAGGGAGCCUGACAUGGGACUUGAUCCCUGGUCUCCAGGAUCAGGCCCUGGGCUGAAGGCAGCACUAAACCACUGAGCCACCCAGGCUGCCCUCACUGACAGAUCUUAAAUACCUGGACAGGACCUGAUGCAAAGCAGUCACUCAGUAUUUAUUGAAUGAAUGAAUGGAUCCACAAUGAGAAUUCAGUACAAACUGUAUCUGCGGUCAGAUUUCACCUUCAUUUAUGCAGUUAACAAAUGUCUCCUGUGCUCUGAAUAUGGGGGAGACAGAGCCUACACGCACGAAUACAUACCAUUGGACAGUGACGAGUGCUAUAAAGCCAAAGGGAACAAACAGGGCAAGAGGUCGGAAGGAGAGCAGUGGCUGUUUUAAAUGACUGAGUCACCUUUCUGAAGUGAUGGCAAUUGUUCUGAGCCUUGAAUUAAGACAGGUGCCAUACAUAUUUGGGUGGAGGGGGAAAAUGGGCUUUGAGCAUGGAAAAAAAAAUAGCAAAUGCCUCGCCCUAGGGUGGAGGCCCACGUGGUAAUAAGCCCAGUAAGCCCAAGGAGGCCGGCCUGGUGGAACUGGGGUAAGCAAGAAUGUAGGAUACAUAUUUGCCUUUACCUGCUACUCAGUAACCUGUAGGUAUGGAUCCAUUGAUGUAUCCACUCACACGGCCUAAUAAUGCCCCGGGCAACAGAUUACCUCUCACCUGGAGUACUCCAGCCCCCAAAUGCCUGCAUCAGCACAUCGUGUAAGAGGACCAGGCACCGUAGUGACGUGGUCAAAAACUGCUCCAAGCAGCCUCAGGAGUCACCAAACUA